Non-coding RNA from Rhamnusium bicolor, 75 nucleotides. The record is from the annotation of a GenBank genome assembly. Lineage: Eukaryota; Metazoa; Arthropoda; Insecta; Coleoptera; Cerambycidae.
GCUUCGUGGUAGAGUGGUAAGAACACUUGCCUCUUAUUCUUGAGUCCCGGGUUCGAUUCCCGGAGGACGAGAAUU